Molecule: ribosomal RNA, 181 nt
Filed under: uncultured bacterium
Lineage: Bacteria
Description: partial 16S ribosomal RNA
Rfam family: Bacterial small subunit ribosomal RNA
Source: RNAcentral
GCAUGAAGUCGGAAUUGCUAGUAAUGGCAGGUCAGCAUACUGCCGUGAAUACGUUCCCGGGCCUUGUACACACCGCCCGUCACACCAUGAGAGUUGGGAAUACCCGAAGCCUGUGAGCCAACAAACGAGGCAGCAGUCGAAGGUAGAAUCAAUGAUUGGGGUGAAGUCGUAACAAGGUAAC